Molecule: unclassified non-coding RNA, 269 nt
Rfam family: Metazoan signal recognition particle RNA
About the family: The signal recognition particle (SRP) is a universally conserved ribonucleoprotein.
Source: Ensembl
GCCGGGAGCAGUGGCUUACGCCUGUAAUCCAAGUACUUUGGGAGGCUGAGGCAGGUGGAUCGCUUGAGGUCAGGAGUUCAAGACCAGCCUGGACAACAUGGUGAAACCCUGUCUCUACUAAAAAUACAAAAAUUAGCUGGGUGUGGUGGCAUGCACCUGUAAUCUCAGUUACUUGGGAGGCUGAGGCAGGAGAAUGGCUUGCACCCAGGAGGAGGAGGAGGUUGCAUCACAGCACUCUAGCCUGGGCAACAGAGCGAGACUCUGUCUCA